RNAcentral lists this ribosomal RNA (254 nucleotides) under uncultured bacterium. Its description in RNAcentral is "partial 16S ribosomal RNA". It matches the Rfam family "Bacterial small subunit ribosomal RNA", at positions 524 to 777 of the family's 1533-position model. The record is from RNAcentral.
UACGUAGGGUCCUAGCGUUGUCCGGAUUUAUUGGGCGUAAAGAGCUCGUAGGCGGUUUGUUAAGUCGGAUGUGAAAUCCCUCGGCUCAACUGAGGAAGUGCAUCCGAAACUGGCAGGCUUGAGUACUAAAGAGGGUCGCGGAAUUCCCGGUGUAGAGGUGAAAUUCGUAGAUAUCGGGAGGAACACCGGUGGCGAAGGCGGCAUCCUGGACCGGCAUUGACGCUGAGGCGCGAAAGCUAGGGGAGCAAACGGGG